RNAcentral lists this ribosomal RNA (497 nucleotides) under uncultured bacterium. RNAcentral's name for it is "partial 16S ribosomal RNA". It matches the Rfam family "Bacterial small subunit ribosomal RNA", at positions 28 to 507 of the family's 1533-position model. The record is from RNAcentral.
GAUGAACGCUGGCGGCGUGCCUAAUACAUGCAAGUCGAGCGAACAGACGAGGAUCUUGCUCCUCUGACGUUAGCGGCGGACGGGUGAGUAACACGUGGAUAACCUACCUAUAAGACUGGGAUAACUUCGGGAAACCGGAGCUAAUACCGGAUAAUAUAUUGAACCGCAUGGUUCAAUAGUGAAAGACGGUUUUGCUGUCACUUAUACAUGGAUCCGCGCCGCAUUAGCUAGUUGGUAAGGUAACGGCUUACCAAGGCAACGAUGCGUAGCCGACCUGAGAGGGUGAUCAGCCACACUGGAACUGAGACACGGUCCAGACUCCUACGGGAGGCAGCAGUAGGGAAUCUUCCGCAAUGGGCGAAAGCCUGACGGAGCAACGCCGCGUGAGUGAUGAAGGUCUUCGGAUCGUAAAACUCUGUUAUUAGGGAAGAACAAAUGUGUAAGUAACUAUGCACGUCUUGACGGUACCUAAUCAGAAAGCCACGGCUAACUACGUG